GGAGGCGUGCGAGAGUGGUUUAAUCGGGCAGUUUCGAAAACUGCUAUGGUUGAAAGACCAUCGAAGGUUCGAAUCCUUCCGCCUCCGCUA
This 90-nucleotide transfer RNA is filed under the name Candidatus Nealsoniibacteriota bacterium. RNAcentral's name for it is "Candidatus Nealsonbacteria bacterium tRNA-Ser". It matches the Rfam family "tRNA". From Rfam's summary of the family: Transfer RNA (tRNA) molecules are approximately 80 nucleotides in length. Their secondary structure includes four short double-helical elements and three loops (D, anti-codon, and T loops). Further hydrogen bonds mediate the characteristic L-shaped molecular structure. tRNAs have two regions of fundamental functional importance: the anti-codon, which is responsible for specific mRNA codon recognition, and the 3' end, to which the tRNAs corresponding amino acid is attached (by aminoacyl-tRNA synthetases). tRNAs cope with the degeneracy of the genetic code in two manners: having more than one tRNA (with a specific anti-codon) for a particular amino acid; and 'wobble' base-pairing, i.e. permitting non-standard base-pairing at the 3rd anti-codon position. Lineage: Bacteria; Candidatus Nealsoniibacteriota. The record is from RNAcentral.